CUUAUAUACUCAUUCUAACAAUUAUCUUAUAUGCUCAACCAAAACCCUAGCCUCCAUUCCCCUUCUAGCCAUUCAGACGCAACAAACCCUAGCCUCCCUUCCCAUUCUACUCGCAGCCAUUCAGUUCUUUAGGUUGGUGACCGUGAUGGAGUCUUUAAGGUUUUGUCUACUUCUUGGUGGUGAUGAUUUUGACAAGAGGAUUGUGGAUUGGCUUGCUGCAAGCUUCAAGAAAGAUGAGGGAAUUGACCUACUAAUAGACAAGCAAGCUCUGCGACGAUUGACCGAAACUGCUGAAAAGGUGAAGAUGGAACUUUCAACUCCGACUCAGGAAAAUAUUAGGCUGUAUUAAGCCGACUGGGUAAAUAUGCUGAAAUAUUUGAUGAAGAAGAGCUUUGGUGUCAUUAGAAACUUCAAGAUCUUUAUAAAUCUAUCAGGGAAAGUAAGGUAUGCAUGAUAUUCCUUUUUUAAUUGAAGUUUUUAGAUUGCAUAGUUCUUUUUCUUCCGGUGUAACACUCAAGAACCAAUGUAUUUCUGAACUCUUUCGUUUCUUUACAUGCCAGCAUUUCCAAAAGUAUAUUGUUUGUGGUGUUGAAGGGUUUAUUUCAAUAGGGAAAAAGCAAAAUCAAAUAGAAAAAAGGUUUGCUG
Long non-coding RNA from Helianthus annuus (common sunflower), 645 nucleotides. RefSeq lists it as uncharacterized. The record is from RefSeq and is a predicted model, not a curated record. NCBI's taxonomy places the organism in Eukaryota, Viridiplantae, Streptophyta, Magnoliopsida, Asterales, Asteraceae. The transcript has 5 exons.